Molecule: ribosomal RNA, 696 nt
Filed under: Torrenticola rala
Lineage: Eukaryota; Metazoa; Arthropoda; Arachnida; Trombidiformes; Torrenticolidae
Description: eukaryotic LSU rRNA
Rfam family: Eukaryotic large subunit ribosomal RNA
Source: RNAcentral
ACGAAGUCCUGUUGAGUAAGAGAUUCAUAUACUUUAGAAGGCGUAUAAUUGUUGUACUUCUCUAACGGAGAAUAGAACGAUUAUAACAGUCGACUAAAUGAUGCAUUUCUCUUACUCACGUUGGAGCUCUGACUGCUUAUAUCGAUAUAAAUUUGCUUGUCUUUGUGAUGUAGAACUUCGGGCUCUAAACUUACAUUGUUUUGCAAGUGUAAAAUUUAUAUUAUAAUGAGUAGGUGAAUUACUUACAAUUGUAAGUGUAUUCAGAUCAUUAGUAUCGUUAAGAUAUUAAUCAUUGUUAUAAUGGCACUUUCAAGACAUGUGCUUGAAGACUCAUUAUAUAUAGUGAUUGCAAAUAUCUUUUUCCUUUACUAAUCGAUGAUCCAGAGUAAGUAGGUCGGUCAUCCAUCUGACCCGUCUUGAAACACGGACCAAGGAGCCCAACAUAUAUGCAAGUCGCACAGUCUUGAAUAGGCUUGUGAGGCGAAAUAAACAUAAUGGUGUGAUCAUUUAUUCAUUGCAAUAAAUGCGCAACACCAACCUGUUCAUUCUUUAUAUUAAAAGUUGAACGGCGUUUGAGCAUACAUGUUGGUACCCGAAAGAUGGUGAACUAUACUUGGGCAAGACGAAGCCAGAGGAAACUCUGGUGGAGGUCUGUAGCGAUUCUGACGUGCAAAUCGAUCGUCAGACCUGAGUAUA